UAAAACUAAGUCAAAAACAUUUGGAUUCAGUAGACGGGUUCCUCAAUCUCACCCACAAAUCUCGGCCCCAUUAUAGCUCUCCCAUAUUUGAUCCCUCCAUCUCCCUUUAUCUGUGAAAAAACAAAAAUAUCAGUUUGAAGAUUUCAUUCAGAUUGCUUUUCGCUUUCCUUUCUCUCACUCAACGCAAACCCUAGCAUCGAUGAUGACGAAGAACUUUCUCAGAUGUCCACUGGUCGCAAGGUAAUCGUCAAACAAAAAGCUUAAAUUUGAAAUUCUUUGUCUCGCUAAAUCAGUUAGGUUUUGCGAUUUUUUAUUCCAAAUCAAUGUCAGGCAAAGUGCAAUUGACGUCGCCGCUCAUGCCCUUCCUCGCGUUGCCAUCAUCCGUUGUGGAUGGUAAGGUUUAAGUGGAGACUGCUUGGCUUGAAAUUCUUGCUCAAAUACCUUGAUUAUCUCUGGAUAUUGAAGCUUUCACCAUAGUUGAGUGAAGAUAAACAUGGCAAAGCUUUAUCGAUGAAAAUUAAACACCGCUGAACUCUCAAUCAUUCGGAUUUUGUAAUUUCUGUUUUGGGCGUAGAGGAGUGAUUAGAUGAAGCGAUUGAGGAUUGAUGAUGAUGAUUAUGAUGUUGAUGACUGGGUUCAUGAGUAUUCACAAGUAAAUUGAUGUGUUGGGCUCUUGAAUUUUAAUAUUGGGGCAGAUUUACUCUAUUUUUUCUUAAUGAUCUUGAGGUUGAUGAUGAUGACGCUACCAGAGUACCAGGCUAAUAAGAUUCAAGAUUAUGUAAAAGGAAUUGUCAUGCCACUCAUACAUAUUCAGAGAACAUUGGAUGCACCUUGGAAUGAAGACUAUAUUUCACAUUGAAGGUUCUUCAAAUGAUGACAAAGGAGGCUGCAAUGGCAAACCUAGAGGCAGAAAGAUUUGUUAGAACGUGUAUUUAAAUGAACUUUUAGUGAGUUAAGUUUCAUUUUCAGAGCAUGAAAUGACCUUGAAGUGACAAAUGAAUCUGAGCAAAAAGCCUUAGGGACAAUAGUGAUUAAACUUGACCAAGACCACAUACAUUGUUAGAUGGUUACAGAUUUAAGUAGUGAAGAAUCUGAACAUUAAGUACAGAUAGGAGAGAUAAUAGUGUAACUAAAUGGUUAAGAAUUUAAGACGUCUUAGAGUUGGUGAUCAAAGUCUGUAGUAUAUAUGUUGAAUAUCUAUUCUCUGUAUUUUUUGCAUUGGUUGUAGUAAAGGUUACGAUCAUGGUUUUACUAAA
This is a long non-coding RNA of Lactuca sativa (garden lettuce), 1256 nucleotides long. RefSeq lists it as uncharacterized. The record is from RefSeq and is a predicted model, not a curated record. NCBI's taxonomy places the organism in Eukaryota, Viridiplantae, Streptophyta, Magnoliopsida, Asterales, Asteraceae.